UGAAUACGAGACGCUACGGCGUCGAAGCAGUCUAUGUCAUACUUCCAAGAAAAGCUUGCACUGUCAUAAACAAAUAAUGCCUGUACCAUAACCGACACAGGUGGGUAGGUAGAGUAUACUAAGGGGCGCGAGAUAACUCUCUCUAAGGAACUCGGCAAAAUGACUCCGUAACUUCGGGAGAAGGAGUGCCUUAUUUAUAAGGUUGCAAUAACAAGAUCCAAGCAACUGUUUAUCAAAAACACAGGUCUCCGCUAAGUCGUAAGACGAUGUAUGGGGGCUGACGCCUGCCCAGUGCCAGAAGGUUAAAGAAGUUGGUUAGCAUUAGCGAAGCUGAUAACUGAAGCCCUGGUGAACGGCGGCCGUAACUAUAACGGUCCUAAGGUAGCGAAAUUCCUUGUCGGGUAAGUUCCGACCCGCACGAAAGGCGUAAUGAUUUGGAUACUGUCUCGGAGAGGGGCUCGGUGAAAUAGACUUGUCUGUGAAGAUGCGGACUACCUGCACCUGGACAGAAAGACCCUAUGAAGCUUUACUGUAACCUGAAAUUGAAAUUGGACUUUAUUUGCGCAGUAUAGGUGGGAGGCGUUGAGAAUAUUCUUGCGGGAAUAUUGGAGCCAUCAGUGAGAUACCACUCUUGUAAUGUUAGAUUUCUAACUUUGAAUCAUUAUCUGGUCAAAGAACAGUUUCAGGCGGGCAGUUUGACUGGGGCGGUCGCCUCCUAAAUGGUAACGGAGGCGCACAAAGGUUUCCUCUGAACGGGUAGAAAUCGUAUCUAGAGUGUAAAGGCAUAAGGAAGCUUGACUGUGAGACCUACAAGUCGAGCAGGGACGAAAGUCGGUCUUAGUGAUCUGACGGUGCUGAGUGGAAAGGCCGUCACUCAACGGAUAAAAGUUACUCUAGGAUAACAGGCUGAUCUCCCCCAAGAGUUCACAUCGACGGGGAGGUUUGGCACCUCGAUGUCGGCUCAUCGCAUCCUGGGGCGGUAGUACGUCCCAAGGGUUGGGCUGUUCGCCCAUGAAAGCGGUACGCGAGCUGGGUUCAGAACGUCGUGAGACAGUUCGGUCCAUAUCCGGUGUAGGCGUUAGAAUAUUGAGAGGAGCCUUCUUUAGUACGAGAGGACCGAGAAGGACAUACCUCUGGUGUACCAGUUAUCGUGCCAACGGUAAACGCUGGGUAGCUAUGUAUGGAGAGGAUAACCGCUGAAAGCAUCUAAGUGGGAAGCCCACCUCAAGAUAAG
RNAcentral lists this ribosomal RNA (1234 nucleotides) under metagenome. Its description in RNAcentral is "bacterial LSU rRNA". It matches the Rfam family "Bacterial large subunit ribosomal RNA", at positions 1564 to 2808 of the family's 2925-position model. The record is from RNAcentral.